UUUGUCUUGGCUCAGUGGUUAAGGCAUUGGACUACUGAUCAGAAGGUCAUGAGCUCAAAUCCCAGCCCCACUAAG
Non-coding RNA from Pangasius djambal, 75 nucleotides. NCBI's taxonomy places the organism in Eukaryota, Metazoa, Chordata, Actinopteri, Siluriformes, Pangasiidae. The record is from the annotation of a GenBank genome assembly.